Molecule: non-coding RNA, 576 nt
Filed under: Pan troglodytes (chimpanzee)
Lineage: Eukaryota; Metazoa; Chordata; Mammalia; Primates; Hominidae
Source: RNAcentral
AACUUCAGGUUCGAGGGCUUCCUUGCCGUCUGCCAAGAACACUCGUCUUGCGGCCAUGUUCAGAUUCAGCUUUUCUGUGCACUUUUCCAGCAGCUAGAAGAAAGCAAGAGAGUUUCUGAUUGCCCGGGUUGAAGUGUAUCUCAUAUUUCCCACAGUGUAAUUAACAACAUUCUACUCUGGUGCUUUCAAAGAAAAAAACAAAAACAAAAACAAAACCCGAGAGAUGUGUUACAUUUUAAUGUCUGAGAUAGUCAAUUGAAACAUUAUAAACUCUGCUCAAAGGAAAGAACUUCAACAAUAGGUUAAAAAGAACAGAGAACAGCUUUGAUUACCUCAGUUGACCCACUGGAGCACUGACAGGCCUUCAGACUCAGAUUGGAAACUACAGCAAUGGCCCUCUGUCUCUCAGGCCUUUGAACCACACCACUGGUUUUCCUGGGUCUCCAGCUUGUAGAUGGCUAAUCAUGAGACUUCACAGCCUCCAUAAUCGGGUCCAGAGUCUGGGCAAAGCUUAGCUGGAUCCUCUGUUCAGGAUCUCACAGAGCUGAAAUCAAGGUGUCAGCUGGGGCUGCAGUC